Molecule: unclassified non-coding RNA, 379 nt
Filed under: uncultured Gammaproteobacteria bacterium
Lineage: Bacteria; Pseudomonadati; Pseudomonadota; Gammaproteobacteria
Description: contains 16S-23S intergenic spacer region
Source: RNAcentral
UCCGGUUCUUCACCGGCAGUCUCCUUAGAGUCCCCAUCUUUACAUGCUGGUAACUAAGGAUAAGGGUUGCGCUCGUUACGGGACUUAACCCAACAUCUCACAACACGAGCUGACGACAGCCAUGCAGCACCUGUCUCACAGUUCCUUUCGGCACUUUAGCAUCUCUGCUAAAUUCUGUGGAUGUCAAGGGUAGGUAAGGUUCUUCGCGUUGCAUCGAAUUAAACCACAUGCUCCACCGCUUGUGCGGGCCCCCGUCAAUUCCUUUGAGUUUUAACCUUGCGGCCGUACUCCCCAGGCGGAGAACUUAACGCAUUUGCUUCGAUACCAAUAGGUCUUUGCCUACCAACAUCUAGUUCUCAUCGUUUACAGCGUGGACUAC